GCUUAUAUACAGGUGCUGCAUGGCUGUCGUCAGCUCGUGUCGUGAGAUGUUGGGUUAAGUCCCGUAACGAGCGCAACCCUUGUCCUUAGUUACCAGCACGUAAUGGUGGGCACUCUAAGGAGACUGCCGGUGACAAACCGGAGGAAGGUGGGGAUGACGUCAAGUCCUCAUGGCCCUUACGGGCUGGGCUACACACGUGCUACAAUGGUCGGUACAGAGGGUUGCCAAGCCGCGAGGUGGAGCUAAUCUCACAAAACCGAUCGUAGUCCGGAUCGCAGUCUGCAACUCGACUGCGUGAAGUCGGAAUCGCUAGUAAUCGCGAAUCAGAAUGCCGCGGUGAAUACGUUCCCGGGCCUUGUACACACCGCCCGUCACACCAUGGGAGUGGGUUGCACCAGAAGUAGCUAGUCUAACCUUCGGGAGGACGGUUACCACGGUGUGAUUCAUGACUGGGGUGAAGUCGUAACAA
This 469-nucleotide ribosomal RNA is filed under the name Aplanochytrium stocchinoi. RNAcentral's name for it is "partial Bacterial small subunit ribosomal RNA". It matches the Rfam family "Bacterial small subunit ribosomal RNA", at positions 1026 to 1494 of the family's 1533-position model. Lineage: Eukaryota; Bigyra; Thraustochytrida; Thraustochytriidae. The record is from RNAcentral.